AUGGGAGUUGUUCUGUCCCCUCAGGAGUUGUUCUGUCCCCUCAGGAGUUGUUCUGUCCCUGCUGAGGUUGUUCUGUCCCUUCGGGGGUUGUUCUGUCCCUUCAGGGAUUGUUCCGUCCCCUCGGGGGUUGUUCUGUCCCUGCUGGGGUUGUUCUGUCCCCUCCGGGGCUGUUCUAUCCCCUCGGGAGUUGUUCCAUCCCUCGGGGGUUGUUCUGUCCCUGCUGGGUUGUUCUGUCCCUUCGGGGGUUGUUCUGUCCCUUCGGGGUUGUUCCGUCCCCUCACGGGGGUUGUUCUGUCCCUGCUGAGGUUGUUCUGUCCCCAUGGGAAUUGUUCUGUCCCUGCUGGGUUGUUCUGUCCCUUUGGGGUUGUUCUGUCCCCUCGGGAGUUGUUCCGUCCCUGUUGGGUUGUUCUGUCCCUUCGGGGGUUGUUCUGUCCCCUCGGGGGUUGUUCUGUCCCCAUGGGAAUUGUUCUGUCCCUUCAGGGUUGUUCUGUCCCCGCUGGGUUGUUCUGUCCCCAUGGGAAUUGUUCUGUCCCCUCAGGAGUUGUUCUGUCCCCUCAGGAGUUGUUCUGUCCCCUCGGGGGUUGUUCUGUCCCUUCAGGGGUUGUUCUGUCCCUUCGGGGGUUGUUCUGUCCCCACCGGGAUUGUUCCGUCCCCGCUGGGUUGUUCUGUCCCUUCGGGGGUUGUUCUGUCCCUUUGGGGUUGUUCUGUCCCCUCAGGAGUUGUUCUGUCCCUUCGGGGGUUGUUCUGUCCCUUCGGGGGUUGUUCUGUCCCCUCACGGGAGUUGUUCUGUCCCUUCAGGAGUUGUUCUGUCCCCUCAGGAGUUGUUCUGUCCUUUCAGGGGAUGUUCUGUCCCCAUGGGAAUUGUUCUGUCCCCAUGGAAGUUGUUCUGUCCCUGCUGGGGUUGUUCUGUCCCUUCAGGGGUUGUUCUGUCCCCUCCGGGGUUGUUCUGUCCCCUCACGGGGGUUGUUCUGUCCCCAUGGGGUUGUUCUGUCCCUGCUGGGGUUGUUCUGUUCCCUCGGGGGUUGUUCUGUCCUCACGGGCGUUGUUCCGUCCCCGCUGGGUUGUUCUGUCCCCGCCGGGGAUUGUUCUGUCCCCGCUGUGGUUGUUCUGUCCCCUCGGGAGUUGUUCUGUCCCCAUGGGAGUUGUUCUGUCCCUCGGGGGUUGUUCUGUCCCCUCAGGAGUUGUUCUGUCCCUGCUGGGGUUGUUCUGUCCCUGCUGGGGUUGUUCUGUCCCCUCCGGGGUUGUUCUGUCCCCUCGGGGGCUGUUCUGUCCCCAUGGGAAUUGUUCUGUCCCCUCAGGAGUUGUUCUGUUCCCUCGGGGGUUGUUCUGUCCCUGCUGGGUUGUUCUGUCCCCACUGGGGUUGUUCUGUCCCUCGGGAGUUGUUCUGUCCCCUCACGGGGGUUGUUCUGUCCCCUCAGGAGUUGUUCUGUCCCUGCUGGGGUUGUUCUGUCCCUCGGGGGUUGUUCUGUCCCCACGGGAAUUGUUCUGUCCCCUCAGUUGUUCUGUCCCCGCUCCUUCCUUCCCAAAUCGCUUCAGGGGGUGGCCACGGGGAUGUGCCUCCCACCCCAUCCUUUGGAGAAAAAAGGGAAAAAUGAGAAAAUGAGCGGAGCCCCCACCCCGAAAUCACCUUGGCUGUGCUGCGGGGCUGCCCCAGCACCGCCCUUUGCCUUCCCUUUGCUUUCCUUGCCUUUUGAGCUGCUGAUAAACAACGCCCGUCCCCAGACAGCGGCCAAGUGUUGGUUAAACCCCGCUGGAAAUCCCAGCUGCGCUCCCAGGGCUCCAAAACACCCAAAAACAGGGGAUGAGCCCAAGGAGCUGCAGCCCAGGAGGGUCCCCAACCCCAGUGCCCCUUGUCCCAACCAAGCCAGAAAAGCGGCCACAAUCAAAGCCAGCACAAUCAGCAGGUAA
RNAcentral lists this long non-coding RNA (1908 nucleotides) under Zonotrichia albicollis (white-throated sparrow). Its description in RNAcentral is "lncRNA (ENSZALG00000012174.1)". The record is from RNAcentral. Lineage: Eukaryota; Metazoa; Chordata; Aves; Passeriformes; Passerellidae.